Molecule: ribosomal RNA, 239 nt
Filed under: uncultured bacterium
Lineage: Bacteria
Description: partial 16S ribosomal RNA
Rfam family: Bacterial small subunit ribosomal RNA
Source: RNAcentral
CCGGCGCACGGGUGAGUAACGCGUAUCCAACCUGCCCACCACUUGGGGAUAACCUUGCGAAAGUAAGACUAAUACCCAAUGAUAUCUCUAGAAGACAUCUGAAAGAGAUUAAAGAUUUAUCGGUGAUGGAUGGGGAUGCGUCUGAUUAGCUUGUUGGCGGGGUAACGGCCCACCAAGGCAACGAUCAGUAGGGGUUCUGAGAGGAAGGUCCCCCACAUUGGAACUGAGACACGGCCCAA